Molecule: long non-coding RNA, 2940 nt
Filed under: Triticum aestivum (bread wheat)
Lineage: Eukaryota; Viridiplantae; Streptophyta; Magnoliopsida; Poales; Poaceae
Description: long non-coding RNA (TAES_LNC017116)
Source: RNAcentral
AAGCAUACAUCCAAUAGCCCAUAUAUUAGGAAAGCCAUCCAAAAUCAGUGUUUACGUACAUACCAAUAUAUUAAACUAUGUAUCAACAUCCAGCAAUUGACAUAUGAGAAUUUGUACAUGGACUUGCUCAAAAGGAAAAACAUUUCUACGCAUACAUGAAACCACUCAGAUUCGGAUCCAUCACAUUGCACAGGCCAAUGACAACAAAACACACACACUUCUACGUCACCUAGAUUCAUGAUCAGCAGCAUCACAUACAUACACAUCAUUUUACUAUUUCUCAUCCAUCAUAUUCCAUAUAACAGUAGCUGCAACAAAAUACCAUAAGAUUGUCGCUCGUUAGUUGAAGUGCAAAUGGACUAGUGAGAUCCUCCUCCGGAUGCAUAGUUGUUAUCAUCAUGUUCUCAGUCAUAUUGCAAACUUGAGUGAAGCCAUUGCCGAUGUGAUCAUCCAUAGCGUCAUCCUUGAAGAUAACAUAGGACAAAUCAUCUUCCCCUACAAAAUUAUGUACAAAAUUAAUGAAGAAGCAAGAUAUUGGAGAAGUAUUUGAUAAGGAAAUAAAGAGAUGGCAACACCACAAACCAGGGGCUCCCGCCACCAACGGGUCUGCUUCGAGCACAAGUGAUUUUUAUUUAUUUUUUGACAAGGAGAAGUUGCUGGAAUUAGCUAAGCUUUAUCCUAGUGAUUUUAGUCACAGAGGUAUAGUAUUCUUGAACAUGAACUUGGUUUCUACAUAAAUAAUGUAAUCCAUGAUAGAAGGUUUUCUAGCUUGGACAAAAUAGGUGAUUGCUAAAUUGAUGGUGGAUACAAGGAAGCAUCUCUCCUAUCCUUUGGUAUAUCGGCUUUUGAAGCUAGCACUGACUCUCCAAGUUGCCACUGGCAAUGUUGGGACAUGUUUUCCAGCUAUGAAUAUUGUGAAGAAUGCUUUGCGUGACAAAAUUGGUGAUGAUUAUUUAAGUCAUAGCCUAAUUUGCUUCUUGGGCUUUUGCUCAAAAGCAACAAUAGUUCUACAUAUACAUGACACCACUCUUAUUCUCAUCCAUCACAUUGCACAGAGAAAUGACGACUAAAUACACACAUUUCUAUGUUACCUAGGUUCAUGAUCAGCAACAUCACCUACAUAAUUAUAGCCAGCCAGCACAAAGCCACAUAAGCAACACACUACCUGGCAGUAGCCACUAAGAAGAAAAUAGUACUCAUCCAACUGCUGACUAGAUAUGUUGGAACCUCAGCUCAUUGUGACACGUAUAUUGUCACUGGAGCAGCACUGUCCUAGACUUGCAUAUUCAGAAUUAAUGCAUCUCAUGCUGUAGUGCCAUUUGUGGACACACCAUAUGAUAUAUGAAUAAAACCAGAAAAGUAUAUAUGAAAUUAUAUAAUCUGGCACUAGGUUUCAUGCCUCGAGCAAUGUGAUAUCCUUUUUUUCUUCACAACUUAACAAUUCAGAGAUGCUUAUUAGGAAAUAUACUUACAGGAAAAUAGCCAGAGGACAUGAAUCUGUUGGACUGGUAGAAAUCCAACUAUGAAACCAUCCAGUUAUGAUCCUCACUCAUCUGUUCCGGACUCAUUGUCUCCUGAAUGCAGCGCCUGCACAAGUACACAUCAUACAUGUAAAAAAAGAAGAGUGAUUCAGUGGAAAACCAAGAAUAGGCCACAGUACAAGGGCCAAAGAGGAAAGGAUUUGAAAGUUACAUGAAUUCUUUGAGACCAUGAACCAUCAGCCUAGAUUUUACUUUGGCUAAUUGCAAAUUGAUGUAAAUCUGCAUCUACCCGCACUGGCACUGGGAUGGGAAGUAUUUAUAGUAAGAAACAAAUCCAUAGGAAGAUGAAAAAAUCAGCAGAAAAAAUCAUGACCAACGGCAAUAGCCAUUAAUUAGCAUGUUGCUUUGAGAGUUGGAUCCAGUGAAGAGCGGGGCAAGAGAAAAAGCAACGCCAGCCGCCGUUGUGCGUGAUGAUGGACGCAGCCAAUGAUAGCAUUUUUUUUCUCUCUCUUAAGAGAAAGCAGUCAGCCUGUUACAUAACUCUGAAUUGGGCAUCAAACAGUACUGCGCAAAUAGCAUCAGUGAUCUAAAAAGAAGAGUACAUCUUCUCAUGUACAUACACUGCAUAUCCUGAAGCAGCUACCAAGGAAAAAGAGUCAACAUCUUCACGUCUUCACAUGCAUACACUGCAUAUCCUGAAGCACCUAGCAAGGAUGAAAAUUACAGUAACAUCAAUCUUUUCAGUUUUCAGUGACUUAACCAAUGUGAUUGCUAAUAGCACACCUAGCAGCAGCAUCUAAACUUUGAGCUAGCAUAGAGAUCAAAGCCAUUUCUUGCAACAUGUAAAAUGAAUAAAUCCAUACACGGCAAAAGAAUGCAAAAAGGCAAUAAACAAAGAGCAUUUCUUGGGAACUCGUCUCGGAGGUAAACAGAAGACCCAAUAUCGGCUCCGGUCAGAGGUACGUAUAUAGCCCCACUGAAAAAGCAUGUUUUUUUUACUUACAGCGGAGCAGGGGAAGACCAUCUGGCAACUAAUGCGGUGGCGACGGCCUCCAGAAAUAGCUCCGCGAUGCAUCUACAGAAGAAACCACCGAGAUGGAAGAGAUAAGAGCACGAAAUUUAGCGAGAUUUGUGCAAAUUCACGGCCUAGACUUAUCAAAGGAAGAACAUUAAGGAUAAAAGAAAUUAAAAGAGCAGGGGAGAGGGGAGGACUGGAGUUUACCAUGGAGAGGGGCAAGGUGAGAGACGUGGCGAGGCGUCCGGUGAUGGGGACGUGAGAUGAGAGAAGGCGAAGAAGCAACUGCGGCAACCCAUCCUCACGCUUGCCGACGAUGUACGCGCACACACAGGGGAGAUAGACGGGAACGACCUCAACCUUGGGGUCAGAAGGAUGUGGAGGAAGGCGUCGGUCGGGGGUGAGGUCAACGGCGGGGUGGUGCGGUCGCCGUGGGCGAGGACG